GAUGAACGCUGGCGGCGUGCCUAAUACAUGCAAGUCGAGCGAACAGACGAGGAGCUUGCUCCUCUGACGUUAGCGGCGGACGGGUGAGUAACACGUGGAUAACCUACCUAUAAGACUGGGAUAACUUCGGGAAACCGGAGCUAAUACCGGAUAAUAUAUUGAACCGCAUGGUUCAAUAGUGAAAGACGGUUUUGCUGUCACUUAUAGAUGGAUCCGCGCCGCAUUAGCUAGUUGGUAAGGUAACGGCGUACCAAGGCAACGAUGCGUAGCCGACCUGAGAGAGUGAUCGGCCACACUGGAACUGAGACACGGUCCAGACUCCUACGGGAGGCAGCAGUAGGGAAUCUUCCGCAAUGGGCGAAAGCCUGACGGAGCAACGCCGCGUGAGUGAUGAAGGUCUUCGGAACGUAAAACUCUGUUAUUAGGGAAGAACAAAUGUGUAAGUAACUAUGCACGUCUUGACGGUACCUAAUCAGAAAGCCACGGCUAACUACGUG
RNAcentral lists this ribosomal RNA (497 nucleotides) under uncultured bacterium. RNAcentral describes it as "partial 16S ribosomal RNA". It matches the Rfam family "Bacterial small subunit ribosomal RNA", at positions 28 to 507 of the family's 1533-position model. The record is from RNAcentral.